Molecule: long non-coding RNA, 415 nt
Filed under: Rhagoletis pomonella (apple maggot)
Lineage: Eukaryota; Metazoa; Arthropoda; Insecta; Diptera; Tephritidae
Description: uncharacterized LOC118754091
Source: RNAcentral
GUAUAUAACUAUACAUUACGUUGUGUUCUUAUUUUGGGUACAAGGAUUGCCACACGUAGGAAGGUGACUCAAAAUAAGCGCGCGGGGAUGCGUUGGUGCAAUCGCUAUACCUAACAUCUUUUCCGAAACAAAUGGGCACAAAGUGCAUAGGGUGUGGGCAUCUCCGACAAAGAGUAUCGAGGCGAUACGAAGCGCAGCGGCAGGACGACUGGGUACGAGCAGUGUGUAAGGCGUUGGAGAGAGAUAAGUACGAGGAUUUCUUCAUCAAACAGGGGAUUGCAUAAGGAUUCGGUAAAGGAUUGACUAGUUGUGCUGUCGCUAAUGGAAACCGAUAUAAUCAAGAUGACACAUAAACAAAGGCAUUUUUAGGUUAAGAAAACGCAGGAAGCAAUAAAAAAUCGUUUUAUAUUCCGAA